UACGUAGGGUGCAAGCGUUGUCCGGAAUUAUUGGGCGUAAAGAGCUCGUAGGCGGUCUGUUGCGUCGGCUGUGAAAUCUCGGGGCUUAACCCCGAGCCUGCAGUGGAUACGGGCAGACUAGAGGUAGGUAGGGGAGAAUGGAAUUCCCGGUGUAGCGGUGAAAUGCGCAGAUAUCGGGAGGAACACCGGUGGCGAAGGCGGUUCUCUGGGCCUUACCUGACGCUGAGGAGCGAAAGCGUGGGGAGCGAACAGG
RNAcentral lists this ribosomal RNA (253 nucleotides) under uncultured bacterium. Its description in RNAcentral is "partial 16S ribosomal RNA". It matches the Rfam family "Bacterial small subunit ribosomal RNA", at positions 524 to 776 of the family's 1533-position model. The record is from RNAcentral.